UACGUAGGGGGCAAGCGUUGUCCGGAUUUAUUGGGCGUAAAGAGCGUGUAGGCGGUCAGACAAGUCUGCUGUGAAAACUCGAGGCUCAACCUCGAGCUGUCGGUGGAAACUGUCUGGCUAGAGUCCGGAAGAGGAGAGUGGAAUUCCUGGUGUAGCGGUGAAAUGCGCAGAUAUCAGGAAGAACACCUAUGGCGAAGGCAGCUCUCUGGGACGGUACUGACGCUGAGACGCGAAAGCGUGGGGAGCGAACAGG
This 253-nucleotide ribosomal RNA is filed under the name uncultured bacterium. RNAcentral's name for it is "partial 16S ribosomal RNA". It matches the Rfam family "Bacterial small subunit ribosomal RNA", at positions 524 to 776 of the family's 1533-position model. The record is from RNAcentral.